UACGGGGGGGGCAAGCGUUGUUCGGAAUUACUGGGCGUAAAGGGCUCGUAGGUGGCCAACUCAGUCGGACGUGAAAUCCCUCGGCUUAACCGGGGAACUGCGUCCGAUACUGGAUGGCUUGAGAUCGGGAGAGGGAUGCGGAAUUCCAGGUGUAGCGGUGAAAUGCGUAGAUAUCUACUGGAAUGCCGAUGGGGAAGCCGUCCGGCUGGGCCUGUCCUGACGCUCAGGCACGAAAGCGUGGGGAUCAAACAGG
RNAcentral lists this ribosomal RNA (253 nucleotides) under uncultured bacterium. RNAcentral's name for it is "partial 16S ribosomal RNA". It matches the Rfam family "Bacterial small subunit ribosomal RNA", at positions 524 to 776 of the family's 1533-position model. The record is from RNAcentral.